RNAcentral lists this ribosomal RNA (1170 nucleotides) under Triticum aestivum (bread wheat). RNAcentral describes it as "partial small subunit ribosomal RNA". The record is from RNAcentral. Lineage: Eukaryota; Viridiplantae; Streptophyta; Magnoliopsida; Poales; Poaceae.
AUGAUCGUGGCAGAGGAGGACAGAAGCAACAGCAUGUGGAUUUUCGUGAAGCCAUUAACGCCAUUACUCUGGCUCACCUGCAUUGCGCUCUUCUUCUUCUCCAGCUUCAUUGUGUGGGCGAUCGAGCGCGAAUCCAGCCCUGAUUUCCCAUACAUGACUUGGAAGCAAGUCGCGUUCCGGUUCUUCAGUGCAUUCUCAACUCUAGUCUUCUCCCAAAAGGAGAAGCUGAAGAGCAACCUGUCGAAGCUCGUGGUGGUCAUAUCGAUGUUUGUGGCAUUCAUUGUCACAACAUGCUACACGGCCAGCCUGACGUCUAUGUUGACGGCUCGACCGCUCCAACCGACGAUAAGCGUCCUGGGAGAAAGGGACUACGUGGGCUAUCAAGAGGGAUCAUUCAUCGCCGACUUCCUAAUAGACAUGGGCUUUCACGAGGCCAAGUUAAGGGGAUAUACCACAAUCGAUGAGUACGCCGAUGCUCUGAGGAGAGGGUCAGAGAACGGAGGGGUCUCGGCGAUUUUCGACGAAAUGCCCUAUCUGAGGCUCUUCCUGUCGCGCUACUGCCAAGGCUACUCCAUGGUCGGUCCAACCUACAAGAGCGCCGGGUUCGGAUUUGUAUUCCCCAUGGGAUCUCAUCUAGCUCUUGACGUGUCGCGCGCCAUCUUGGAGCUGGCAGAGGGAGAGAAGCUUGCACGCAUCGAGAACAAGUGGUUUGCGCACCCUGGGGUCUGCGUGAACAAGAACAACAGCACCGACUCGUCGUUCAGGCUCGACCUCAGGAACUUCGGUGGGCUGUUCCUCAUCAGCGUCUUGGUCUCGUGCCUCAUGCUGCUGAUAAACCUGACCGCAUGUGUGGCCAGUAGUCCCCACAGAGUUCCGCCGUGGCUGUGUUCUUGGCUUUUGAGAUUUGAGAGCCUCCAGCGGCGCCGAGAUGAGUUCGUGGGGAACGGCGGUGGCGCACCUGAGCGAAAUCCUCCGGAGCCGGCCGCCGGACAGACAGUGCAAGAAGCAGCUGUGACUACUAGUUCCUCGGAAUCCUCCAGAACCUCAGCAGCCUCUUCGCCCGUUCCAGAAGAAAUCGUAGCGCUUCCUCCAGGCCGUUCGAUCGAGCGGGUUCUGCAGGAACAUUCAGCCUCGCCGACCCAGUCCAUACUCCAUACAAAUGCAGCCUAG